AAGUUUGGCAUUCAUUUACGUCUUUCCCAUAUUAUUUGAUUAUUUCAGUUUUUGUAUGUCUCAAGUUUGGCAUUCAUAUACGUAUUUCCCAUGAUAUUUUUUAUUUGAUUGUAAGCUCUGAAAAUAUAUUAAUAAUUUACUGAACACAUGUAUUUGGAGAAGAUGAAGUUAGUGCACUGUUUAUGUCGUUAACAAUUUGAGAAUAUCUACAUUCAGUUGCAACAGAAUUAUCUACAUCUAUUCUAUUUAAAUUCAAAUGAAUUAAAGAUUAUUAACUUAUUCCCUUAUAACUAAUCAACCGAAUAUCUACUUUUGGAGAAUAUAUUAUUUUCAUGUCUUUACUAAAAUAUAUGAUAUUCUACAUACAGUAUUUAUUUUAAAGCUUGGAGAUCAAGCUCACUUAUUUAUUGUUGCCGUGACCUUUUAAAAUGUUUUCCUAUAUUUUUGAAACAGAAUUACGUUAAAUAUUAUACUCUCUUAAAAAGGAAAUAAUAUCAUAUAUUCUAUUAAAAUAGAAGUCACAAUGUUAAUUCAUGUGUGAUUUUUUAGCUGGACCUAUCCUAGAAAAAAAAAUUAGUCAAAUAUUAGAAGUUUUAUAACUAACAAGAUAUAAAAUAAAUUACAACAUAUAUAAAUGAAAGCAUAUAAAAACCAAAAAAUGAAAAAUCUGUUCUUUU
This 677-nucleotide long non-coding RNA is filed under the name Brassica napus (rape). RNAcentral describes it as "long non-coding RNA (BNAP_LNC003477)". The record is from RNAcentral. Lineage: Eukaryota; Viridiplantae; Streptophyta; Magnoliopsida; Brassicales; Brassicaceae.